GACGAACGCUGGCGGCGUGCUUAACACAUGCAAGUCGAGCGGUAAGGCCCUUUCGGGGGUACACGAGCGGGCGAACGGGUGAGUAACACGUGGGUGACCUGCCCUCAGCUCUGGGAUAAGCCUGGGAAACCGGGUCUAAUACUGGAUAUGACUCCAUGACGCAUGUUGUGGGGUGAAAGCCUUGUGCGGCUGAGGAUGGGCCCGCGGCCUAUCAGCUUGUUGGUGGGGUGANGGCCUACCAAGGCGACGACGGGUAGCCGGCCUGAGAGGGCGACCGGCCACACUGGGACUGAGACACGGCCCAGACUCCUACGGGAGGCAGCAGUGGGGAAUCUUGCGCAAUGGGCGAAAGCCUGACGCAGCGACGCCGCGU
This 373-nucleotide ribosomal RNA is filed under the name uncultured bacterium. RNAcentral's name for it is "bacterial SSU rRNA". It matches the Rfam family "Bacterial small subunit ribosomal RNA", at positions 28 to 402 of the family's 1533-position model. The record is from RNAcentral.